AUAAAGGGUGCGCAGGCGGUUCGGUAAGUCAGCGGUGAAAUCCCACGGCUCAACCGUGGAAUUGCACUUGAUACUGCCGGACUUGAGAACGAACGGGGCAAGCGGAAUUCCAGGCGUAGCGGUGGAAUGCGUAGAUAUCUGGGAGAACGCCGAUGGCGAAGGCAGCUUGCUGGGUCGUUUCUGACGCUCAUGCACGAAAGCUAGGGGAGCAAACAGGAUUAGAUACCCUGGUAGUCCUAGCCGUAAACGAUGGGCACUAGGUUCCGGGAUUCCUGAUGAUUUCGGAGCCGUAGUUAACGCGUUAAGUGCCCCGCCUGGGGAGUAUGGUCGCAAGGCUAAAACUCAAAGGAAUUGACGGGGGCUCACACAAGCGGUGGAGCAUGUUGUUCAAUUCGAAGCAACGCGAAGAACCUUACCUGGGUUUGACAUGCUGGUAGUAGAAACCCGAAAGGGGGCCCACUGGUAUCCAGUCCAGAGCCAGCACAGGUGCUGCAUGGCUGUCGUCAGCUCGUGUCGUGAGACGUUGGGUUAAGUCCCGUAACGAGCGAAACCCUUGUCGUCUGUUGCUACCGGGUCAUGCCGGGCACUCUGACGAGACUGCCGGUGUCCCACCGGAGGAAGGUGGGGACGACGUCAAGUCAUCAUGGUCCUUACGCCCAGGGCUACAAACGUGCUACAAUGGCAGGUACAGAGAGACGCGAUGCCGCGAGGCGGAGCAAAUCUUCAAAACCUGCCCCAGUUCGGAUUGGAGGCUGCAAUUCGCCUCCAUGAAGGUGGAAUCGCUAGUAAUCGCGGAUCCCCCACGCCGCGGUGAANCGUUCCUGAGCAUUGUACACACCGCCCGUCAAGCCACCCAAGCUGGAA
Molecule: ribosomal RNA, 864 nt
Filed under: uncultured organism
Description: bacterial SSU rRNA
Rfam family: Bacterial small subunit ribosomal RNA
Source: RNAcentral